AUUGAACGCUGGCGGCAGGCCUAACACAUGCAAGUCGAACGAGUGGCGGGCGGGUGAGUAAUGUCUGGGAAACUGCCUGUUGGAGGGGGAUAAAUACUGGAACCGGUAGCUAAUACCGCAUACCAUCGGAUGUGCCCAGAUGGGAUUCGCUAGUAGGUGGGGUAAAGGCUCACCUAGGCGACGAUCCCUAGCUGGUCUGAGGGGAGGACCAGCCACACUGGAAUUGAGACACGGUCCAGACUCUUCCGGGAGGCAGCAGUGGGGAAUAUUGAACAAGGGGCGCAAGCCGGAUGCAGCCAGGCCGGGUGUGGGAAGAAGGCCGGCGGGUUGUAAAGCACUGUCAGCGAGGAGGCUUUACUCGCAGAAGAAGCACCGGAUAACUCCGUGCCAGCAGCCGCGGUAAUA
RNAcentral lists this ribosomal RNA (405 nucleotides) under uncultured bacterium. Its description in RNAcentral is "partial 16S ribosomal RNA". It matches the Rfam family "Bacterial small subunit ribosomal RNA", at positions 29 to 525 of the family's 1533-position model. The record is from RNAcentral.